UACGGAAGGCAGCAGUGGGGAAUUUUGGACAAUGGGCGCAAGCCUGAUCCAGCCAUGCCGCGUGCGGGAAGAAGGCCUUCGGGUUGUAAACCGCUUUUGUCAGGGAAGAAAAGGUUCUGGCUAAUACCUGGGACUCAUGACGGUACCUGAAGAAUAAGCACCGGCUAACUACGUGCCAGCAGCCGCGGUAAUACGUAGGGUGCAAGCGUUAAUCGGAAUUACUGGGCGUAAAGCGUGCGCAGGCGGUUAUGCAAGACAGAGGUGAAAUCCCCGGGCUCAACCUGGGAACUGCCUUUGUGACUGCAUGGCUAGAGUACGGUAGAGGGGGAUGGAAUUCCGCGUGUAGCAGUGAAAUGCGUAGAUAUGCGGAGGAACACCGGAUGGCGAAGGCAAUCCCCUGGGACCUGUACUGACGCUCAUGCACGAAAGCGUGGGGAGCAAACAGGAUUAGGAAUAACC
This 459-nucleotide ribosomal RNA is filed under the name uncultured bacterium. RNAcentral describes it as "bacterial SSU rRNA". It matches the Rfam family "Bacterial small subunit ribosomal RNA", at positions 340 to 787 of the family's 1533-position model. The record is from RNAcentral.